RNAcentral lists this ribosomal RNA (255 nucleotides) under uncultured bacterium. RNAcentral describes it as "partial 16S ribosomal RNA". It matches the Rfam family "Bacterial small subunit ribosomal RNA", at positions 524 to 777 of the family's 1533-position model. The record is from RNAcentral.
UACGUAGGUGGCAAGCGUUGUCCGGAUUUACUGGGCGUAAAGAGCGCGCAGGCGGUCGUUCAAGUCGAGUGUGAAAGCCCCCGGCUCAACUGGGGAGGGUCACUCGAUACUGAUCGACUCGAAGGCAGAAGAGGGAAGCGGAAUUCCCGGUGUAGUGGUGAAAUGCGUAGAUAUCGGGAGGAACACCAAGUGGCGAAGGCGGCUUUCUGGUCUGCUCUUGACGCUGAGGCGCGAAAGCUAGGGUAGCAAACGGGG